AGAUUAAGUUAUUAAGGGCGCACGGUGGAUGCCUUGGCACUAGAAGCCGAUGAAGGACGUUACUAACGACGAUAUGCUUUGGGGAGCUGUAAGUAAGCUUUGAUCCAGAGAUUUCCGAAUGGGGAAACCCAGCAUGAGUUAUGUCAUGUUAUCGAUAUGUGAAUACAUAGCAUAUCAGAAGGCACACCCGGAGAACUGAAACAUCUUAGUACCCGGAGGAAGAGAAAGAAAAUUCGAUUCCCUUAGUAGCGGCGAGCGAAACGGGAAGAGCCCAAACCAACAAGCUUGCUUGUUGGGGUUGUAGGACACUCUAUACGGAGUUACAAAGGACGACAUUAGACGAAUCAUCUGGAAAGAUGAAUCAAAGAAGGUAAUAAUCCUGUAGUCGAAAAUGUUGUCUCUCUUGAGUGGAUCCUGAGUACGACGGAGCACGUGAAAUUCCGUCGGAAUCUGGGAGGACCAUCUCCUAAGGCUAAAUACUCUCUAGUGACCGAUAGUGAACCAGUACCGUGAGGGAAAGGUGAAAAGCACCCCGGAAGGGGAGUGAAAUAGAACCUGAAACCGUGUGCUUACAAGUAGUCAGAGCCCGUUAAUGGGUGAUGGCGUGCCUUUUGUAGAAUGAACCGGCGAGUUACGAUUUGAUGCAAGGUUAAGCAGUAAAUGUGGAGCCGUAGCGAAAGCGAGUCUGAAUAGGGCGUUUAGUAUUUAGUCGUAGACCCGAAACCAGGUGAUCUACCCUUGGUCAGGUUGAAGUUCAGGUAACACUGAAUGGAGGACCGAACCGACUUACGUUGAAAAGUGAGCGGAUGAACUGAGGGUAGCGGAGAAAUUCCAAUCGAACUUGGAGAUAGCUGGUUCUCUCCGAAAUAGCUUUAGGGCUAGCCUCAAGUGAUGAUUAUUGGAGGUAGAGCACUGUUUGGACGAGGGGCCCCUCUCGGGUUACCGAAUUCAGACAAACUCCGAAUGCCAAUUAAUUUAACUUGGGAGUCAGAACAUGGGUGAUAAGGUCCGUGUUCGAAAGGGAAACAGCCCAGACCACCAGCUAAGGUCCCAAAAUAUAUGUUAAGUGGAAAAGGAUGUGGCGUUGCCCAGACAACUAGGAUGUUGGCUUAGAAGCAGCCAUCAUUUAAAGAGUGCGUAAUAGCUCACUAGUCGAGUGACACUGCGCCGAAAAUGUACCGGGGCUAAACAUAUUACCGAAGCUGUGGAUUGUCCUUUGGACAAUGGUAGGAGAGCGUUCUAAGGGCGUUGAAGCAUGAUCGUAAGGACAUGUGGAGCGCUUAGAAGUGAGAAUGCCGGUGUGAGUAGCGAAAGACGGGUGAGAAUCCCGUCCACCGAUUGACUAAGGUUUCCAGAGGAAGGCUCGUCCGCUCUGGGUUAGUCGGGUCCUAAGCUGAGGCCGACAGGCGUAGGCGAUGGAUAACAGGUUGAUAUUCCUGUACCACCUAUAAUCGUUUUAAUCGAUGGGGGGACGCAGUAGGAUAGGCGAAGCGUGCGAUUGGAUUGCACGUCUAAGCAGUAAGGCUGAGUAUUAGGCAAAUCCGGUACUCGUUAAGGCUGAGCUGUGAUGGGGAGAAGACAUUGUGUCUUCGAGUCGUUGAUUUCACACUGCCGAGAAAAGCCUCUAGAUAGAAAAUAGGUGCCCGUACCGCAAACCGACACAGGUAGUCAAGAUGAGAAUUCUAAGGUGAGCGAGCGAACUCUCGUUAAGGAACUCGGCAAAAUGACCCCGUAACUUCGGGAGAAGGGGUGCUCUUUAGGGUUAACGCCCAGAAGAGCCGCAGUGAAUAGGCCCAAGCGACUGUUUAUCAAAAACACAGGUCUCUGCUAAACCGUAAGGUGAUGUAUAGGGGCUGACGCCUGCCCGGUGCUGGAAGGUUAAGAGGAGUGGUUAGCUUCUGCGAAGCUACGAAUCGAAGCCCCAGUAAACGGCGGCCGUAACUAUAACGGUCCUAAGGUAGCGAAAUUCCUUGUCGGGUAAGUUCCGACCCGCACGAAAGGCGUAACGAUUUGGGCACUGUCUCAACGAGAGACUCGGUGAAAUCAUAGUACCUGUGAAGAUGCAGGUUACCCGCGACAGGACGGAAAGACCCCGUGGAGCUUUACUGUAGCCUGAUAUUGAAAUUCGGCACAGCUUGUACAGGAUAGGUAGGAGCCUUUGAAACGUGAGCGCUAGCUUACGUGGAGGCGCUGGUGGGAUACUACCCUAGCUGUGUUGGCUUUCUAACCCGCACCACUUAUCGUGGUGGGAGACAGUGUCAGGCGGGCAGUUUGACUGGGGCGGUCGCCUCCUAAAAGGUAACGGAGGCGCUCAAAGGUUCCCUCAGAAUGGUUGGAAAUCAUUCAUAGAGUGUAAAGGCAUAAGGGAGCUUGACUGCGAGACCUACAAGUCGAGCAGGGUCGAAAGACGGACUUAGUGAUCCGGUGGUUCCGCAUGGAAGGGCCAUCGCUCAACGGAUAAAAGCUACCCCGGGGAUAACAGGCUUAUCUCCCCCAAGAGUUCACAUCGACGGGGAGGUUUGGCACCUCGAUGUCGGCUCAUCGCAUCCUGGGGCUGUAGUCGGUCCCAAGGGUUGGGCUGUUCGCCCAUUAAAGCGGUACGCGAGCUGGGUUCAGAACGUCGUGAGACAGUUCGGUCCCUAUCCGUCGUGGGCGUAGGAAAUUUGAGAGGAGCUGUCCUUAGUACGAGAGGACCGGGAUGGACAUACCUCUGGUGUACCAGUUGUCGUGCCAACGGCAUAGCUGGGUAGCUAUGUGUGGACGGGAUAAGUGCUGAAAGCAUCUAAGCAUGAAGCCCCCCUCAAGAUGAGAUUUCCCAACUUCGGUUAUAAGAUCCCUCAAAGAUGAUGAGGUUAAUAGGUUCGAGGUGGAAGCAUGGUGACAUGUGGAGCUGACGAAUACUAAUCGAUCGAAGACUUAAUCAAAUU
This 2927-nucleotide ribosomal RNA is filed under the name Staphylococcus aureus. RNAcentral describes it as "bacterial LSU rRNA". It matches the Rfam family "Bacterial large subunit ribosomal RNA". Lineage: Bacteria; Bacillati; Bacillota; Bacilli; Caryophanales; Staphylococcaceae. The record is from RNAcentral.